RNAcentral lists this transfer RNA (64 nucleotides) under Scolytinae sp. BMNH 1039905. Its description in RNAcentral is "tRNA-Phe". Lineage: Eukaryota; Metazoa; Arthropoda; Insecta; Coleoptera; Curculionidae. The record is from RNAcentral.
ACUUGAAUAGCUUAUAUUUAGAGCAUGGCUUUGAAGCGGCUAGGGAGAUAAUUAUCUUUAAGUA